Molecule: ribosomal RNA, 743 nt
Filed under: uncultured bacterium
Lineage: Bacteria
Description: bacterial SSU rRNA
Rfam family: Bacterial small subunit ribosomal RNA
Source: RNAcentral
AGAGUUUGAUCCUGGCUCAGAACGAACGCUGGCGGCAGGCUUAACACAUGCAAGUCGAACGCUCAUCUUCGGAUGGGAGUGGCAGACGGGUGAGUAACGCGUGGGAACGUACCCUUCAGUUCGGAAUAACCCAGGGAAACUUGGGCUAAUACCGGAUACGUCCGUAAGGAGAAAGAUUUAUCGCUGAAGGAUCGGCCCGCGUCGGAUUAGCUAGUUGGUGGGGUAACGGCCCACCAAGGCGACGAUCCGUAGCUGGUCUGAGAGGAUGAUCAGCCACACUGGGACUGAGACACGGCCCAGACUCCUACGGGAGGCAGCAGUGGGGAAUAUUGGUCAAUGGGCGCAAGCCUGAACCAGCCAUGCCGCGUGAGUGAAGAAGGCCUUAGGGUUGUAAAGCUCUUUCAGCGGGGACGAUAAUGACGGUACCCGCAGAAGAAGCCCCGGCUAACUUCGUGCCAGCAGCCGCGGUAAUACGAAGGGGGCUAGCGUUGUUCGGAAUUACUGGGCGUAAAGCGCGCGUAGGCGGAUAUUUAAGUCAGGGGUGAAAUCCCAGGGCUCAACCCUGGAACUGCCUUUGAUACUGGAUGUCUGGAGUUCGGGAGAGGUGAGUGGAAUUCCGAGUGUAGAGGUGAAAUUCGUAGAUAUUCGGAGGAACACCAGAAGCGAAGGCGGCUCACUGGCCCGAUACUGCGCUGAGGCGCGAAAGCGUGGGGAGCAAACAGGAUUAGAUACCCUAGUAGUCC